This 473-nucleotide ribosomal RNA is filed under the name uncultured bacterium. Its description in RNAcentral is "bacterial SSU rRNA". It matches the Rfam family "Bacterial small subunit ribosomal RNA", at positions 335 to 799 of the family's 1533-position model. The record is from RNAcentral.
ACUCCUACGGGAGGCAGCAGUGGGGAAUAUUGCACAAUGGGGGAAACCCUGAUGCAGCCAUGCCGCGUGUGUGAAGAAGGCCUUCGGGUUGUAAAGCACUUUCAGUAGGGAGGAAGGUAGUGUAGUUAACACCUGCACUAUUUGACGUUACCUACAGAAGAAGCACCGGCUAACUCCGUGCCAGCAGCCGCGGUAAUACGGAGGGUGCGAGCGUUAAUCGGAAUUACUGGGCGUAAAGCGCAUGCAGGCGGCCUGUUAAGUCAGAUGUGAAAGCCCGGGGCUUAACCUCGGAAUUGCAUUUGAAACUGGCAGUCUAGAGUCUUGUAGAGGGGGGUAGAAUUUCAGGUGUAGCGGUGAAAUGCGUAGAGAUCUGAAGGAAUACCAGUGGCGAAGGCGGCCCCCUGGACAAAGACUGACGCUCAGAUGCGAAAGCGUGGGGAGCAAACAGGAUUAGAUACCCUGGUAGGAUAGCG